This 799-nucleotide ribosomal RNA is filed under the name Didymella sp. RNAcentral's name for it is "partial large subunit ribosomal RNA". It matches the Rfam family "Eukaryotic large subunit ribosomal RNA", at positions 92 to 909 of the family's 3401-position model. The record is from RNAcentral. Lineage: Eukaryota; Fungi; Ascomycota; Dothideomycetes; Pleosporales; Didymellaceae.
AGUGAAGCGGCAACAGCUCAAAUUUGAAAUCUGGCGUCUUUGGCGUCCGAGUUGUAAUUUGCAGAGGGCGCUUUGGCAUUGGCAGCGGUCCAAGUUCCUUGGAACAGGACGUCACAGAGGGUGAGAAUCCCGUACGUGGUCGCUAGCCUUUACCGUGUAAAGCCCCUUCGACGAGUCGAGUUGUUUGGGAAUGCAGCUCUAAAUGGGAGGUAAAUUUCUUCUAAAGCUAAAUACUGGCCAGAGACCGAUAGCGCACAAGUAGAGUGAUCGAAAGAUGAAAAGCACUUUGGAAAGAGAGUUAAAAAGCACGUGAAAUUGUUGAAAGGGAAGCGCUUGCAGCCAGACUUGCCUGUAGUUGCUCAUCCGGGUUUCUACCCGGUGCACUCUUCUAUAGGCAGGCCAGCAUCAGUUUGGGCGGUUGGAUAAAGGUCUCUGUCAUGUACCUCCUCUCGGGGAGAACUUAUAGGGGAGACGACAUGCAACCAGCCCGGACUGAGGUCCGCGCAUCUGCUAGGAUGCUGGCGUAAUGGCUGUAAGCGGCCCGUCUUGAAACACGGACCAAGGAGUCUAACAUCUAUGCGAGUGUUUGGGUGUCAAGCCCGAGCGCGUAAUGAAAGUGAACGGAGGUGGGAACCUUUCGGGGUGCACCAUCGACCGAUCCUGAUGUCUUCGGAUGGAUUUGAGUAAGAGCAUAGCUGUUGGGACCCGAAAGAUGGUGAACUAUGCUUGAAUAGGGUGAAGCCAGAGGAAACUCUGGUGGAGGCUCGCAGCGGUUCUGACGUGCAAAUCGAUCGUCAAA